This 492-nucleotide ribosomal RNA is filed under the name uncultured bacterium. Its description in RNAcentral is "partial 16S ribosomal RNA". It matches the Rfam family "Bacterial small subunit ribosomal RNA", at positions 29 to 507 of the family's 1533-position model. The record is from RNAcentral.
AGUGAACGCUGGCGGUAGGCCUAACACAUGCAAGUCGAACGGCAGCACAGUAAGAGCUUGCUCUUACGGGUGGCGAGUGGCGGACGGGUGAGGAAUACAUCGGAAUCUACUUUUUCGUGGGGGAUAACGUAGGGAGACUUACGCUAAUACCGCAUACGACCUACGGGUGAAAGCAGGGGAUCUUCGGACCUUGCGCGAUUGAAUGAGCCGAUGUCGGAUUAGCUAGUUGGCGGGGUAAAGGCCCACCAAGGCGACGAUCCGUAGCUGGUCUGAGAGGAUGAUCAGCCACACUGGAACUGAGACACGGUCCAGACUCCUACGGGAGGCAGCAGUGGGGAAUAUUGGACAAUGGGCGCAAGCCUGAUCCAGCCAUACCGCGUGGGUGAAGAAGGCCUUCGGGUUGUAAAGCCCUUUUGUUGGGAAAGAAAAGCAGCAGGUUAAUACCCUGCUGUUCUGACGGUACCCAAAGAAUAAGCACCGGCUAACUUCGUG